GUCUCUUCUUUUCUCCCCAUCUGAAUCUCACCAUCCUCCCUCCACUCCGCCACCACCACCACCACCACAGUCUAAAUCCAAGCGCUUUUGAAGUCCGCGUCGGAGACUAUGGUGACGACGCAGCGAAGAAGAUUAUGCGACGGCGGAUUUCUUCGCAGGCAUAGCCGUACGGAAAUCCGGUGAGGCGAGCGAAAGCGGCGUUGGAGAACGGCGGAGUGGCAUACGGUGGAGGAGAAACCAAGUCG
This 245-nucleotide long non-coding RNA is filed under the name Erythranthe guttata (spotted monkey flower). RNAcentral describes it as "long non-coding RNA (EGUT_LNC002206)". The record is from RNAcentral. Lineage: Eukaryota; Viridiplantae; Streptophyta; Magnoliopsida; Lamiales; Phrymaceae.